RNAcentral lists this transfer RNA (56 nucleotides) under Loxodonta africana (African savanna elephant). It matches the Rfam family "tRNA", at positions 8 to 63 of the family's 71-position model. Rfam says of the family: Transfer RNA (tRNA) molecules are approximately 80 nucleotides in length. Their secondary structure includes four short double-helical elements and three loops (D, anti-codon, and T loops). Further hydrogen bonds mediate the characteristic L-shaped molecular structure. tRNAs have two regions of fundamental functional importance: the anti-codon, which is responsible for specific mRNA codon recognition, and the 3' end, to which the tRNAs corresponding amino acid is attached (by aminoacyl-tRNA synthetases). tRNAs cope with the degeneracy of the genetic code in two manners: having more than one tRNA (with a specific anti-codon) for a particular amino acid; and 'wobble' base-pairing, i.e. permitting non-standard base-pairing at the 3rd anti-codon position. The record is from Rfam by way of RNAcentral. Lineage: Eukaryota; Metazoa; Chordata; Mammalia; Proboscidea; Elephantidae.
UGGUUCAGUGCUAGAAUUCUCGCCUUCCAUGCGGGAGACCUGGGUUCGAUUCCCAG